GACGAACGCUGGCGGCGUGCUUAACACAUGCAAGUCGAGCGGUAAGGCCCUUUCGGGGGUACACGAGCGGCGAACGGGUGAGUAACACGUGGGUGACCUGCCCUCAGCUCUGGGAUAAGCCUGGGAAACCGGGUCUAAUACCGGAUAUGACUCCAUGACGCAUGUUGUGGGGUGGAAAGCCUUGUGCGGCUGAGGAUGGGCCCGCGGCCUAUCAGCUUGUUGGUGGGGUGANGGCCUACCAAGGCGACGACGGGUAGCCGGCCUGAGAGGGCGACCGGCCACACUGGGACUGAGACACGGCCCAGACUCCUACGGGAGGCAGCAGUGGGGAAUCUUGCGCAAUGGGCGAAAGCCUGACGCAGCGACGCCGCGUGAGGGAUGACGGCCUGGUGU
Molecule: ribosomal RNA, 393 nt
Filed under: uncultured bacterium
Lineage: Bacteria
Description: bacterial SSU rRNA
Rfam family: Bacterial small subunit ribosomal RNA
Source: RNAcentral